This is a ribosomal RNA of Hibiscus syriacus, 119 nucleotides long. The record is from RefSeq and is a predicted model, not a curated record. Lineage: Eukaryota; Viridiplantae; Streptophyta; Magnoliopsida; Malvales; Malvaceae.
GGGUGCGAUCAUACCAGCACUAAUACAACAAAUCCCAUUAGAACUUUGCAGUGAAGCGUGCAUGGGUGAGAGUAAUACUAGGAUGGGUAACCUUCUGGGAAGUGCUCGUGUUGCACCCC